UGUGGGGCCCUGGUAGAGGACCACUUUCAUGCUUGGGUUCCCCUGUGCAGUCCCACCUCACAUUGGAGUUCUCAGUGCACGAGGGGGCUGACACGUGGCAGUCUGUGAGGUAGUCUCUAUUAAAUCGUUUGCAUAUUUAGCUUCUCUGUGUCCGGAAUUCGCAUUCAUCUUGCAAAAUUGUAACGGAGUUAAUUCACUUGCCAGGGAGAAACCCUUCUGGGUUUCCCACUCUAGGGCAUUUCUGGGGGUCUCUCCUCUUUUCAUUGGUGCAUUUCCUCUGAUACAGUUAACACUAAUGGGGACCAGGCAUGUGUAUGGACAGACGCACGAGCCCAUGUGUUAGAAAUUGAAUCUCUCAGUCUAGGUGUGUCUUGGAUAAGGUACAGUAAUUAUUAUUAUCCAUUAAUACCAGAGUGCACAAAUAUCACUGGGAAGUAAAUAUUUAAUAUUUCACACUCAUUGCCUCCUUUUAGUUUUUCAUUUGCUAUUGUGCAUAACAAGCAAAUGGUACAUACCUUCUUUCUCCCCUCUUAAAAUUAAGCUCCUUUAAUUUUGCAGAGCAUCUAGUCGUUAAACACAAACUCUCUCAUUUUCUCACAUUGGAUAUUGAACAUUCCAGCUAUCUGCAGAGAAGUCGGCCUGUAGACAGAGGUUUUAAAACUGACAAGUGAACCGGGAGGAGGGAGGCGUUAUGUCGUGUUGGACUUGGCACAACUCCUUCCAAAGCAACAUCGCCCGUCUUUGGACCCUGGAACAGAGCACAAAGAGGGAGACCGGCACAUAAUUUGGCUCUGCAAAUAAUUCUUGAAUUAAUCAAAUCAGUCUGUGCCUCCUAACUCCUGCACUCCGCUCUUGGCUCCCCAGUCUGUUGGUCUGGCAUCCUCUCCUGUUCUGUCCUUGGUGUGACCUUCACAUCUGACCAUUUGUCUUCAGUGGCCUGAAUUCACUGAGGACGUGCAGCUGACCAGCCACUAUUGGCCAUCACAGGAGGCUUCGCAGUGGUGAGGUUCCGCUUUCUUCCCACUUGACCCCUAAAGAAACCAGAAGGGCAGACGCUGCUGUGACCAGGAUGAGGAGGGCACCCAGCGUAGUGGAUCUGGAGCAGGCUGCAGGCCGUAUUAUGCUAAAUCAAGGAUACGGGAGAUAAUUAACACAGCAGCUCUGGCAAGUUUAAUAGGUGAGCAACGAACACCGAGAGUCGGCCCUCAAAAUCCACGUCUUCAUUACCAGCCGCCUGGGCGCAGGGACCAAGCAGGGGCAUGUGUGUUGUGGAGACCCCGAGUUGGGCACAAGUUCUCAUGAGUUUCUGUGAACCCAUCACAAGACUGAGAGAUUUUGAGGAAAAAACGCAAAUACGCUUUAAAGGGUGGUGGUGGUUAUUCUCAGUUCCCAUGCCUUCCUCUACACACAGCCACCUCCAGGUGCGCCUGCAGGCAACAGAAGCUACAAUGCAUACUCUGAAACUGUGAGCAUCUCGCUGAGACUCCUUUUCCUCUUUGCUCAACACUGGAUUUAGGAGGGCCACCUUUGAGGUCAGCAAAGAAUCGAGGAACAGGGCGCAGAGACCGGAAGCAGCAGGUUUACUGCAAAGGCCAGAGACACAGAGACGGACUUCUCUGAAGAGAGGGGCCCAGAGCUGGGAGUCUGGCGGGAGCAGGAAGUGUCCGUCUGACUGGGUCCCCCUCGUGUGUCAAGCAGGAAGUUGAGCUCACCGGAAGUCUUUCUCCGAGCGCCGACCUCCUGGCUGCCAUCUUGCCCUGGCUGCCUCCGCCCCUCUGCCUCUCCCUCAGCGCGUGGAAGCACUGGCCACUCCACCACCUCGUCACGCUCGAGGCCUCGGGCUCCCGCCAAAGCCAAACCUCGUGGUAAGGGUUUUCGUGGUCUGGGAAUUGGCCGUCCAGGACUCCUACCCGCUCUCCAGCGGCCCGUCCUGUUCUUUACUGGUUCUGGAGAGCAGCCCUCAGGCAGUGACAGUGACAUGCUGGCGUCACACUGCGCUGUCCAUUCCUCUGCCAGCCGUCCUGUCCCCCACCUUCCCACCUCCUGCCGCCCUGCCCCAUGCUCCGCCCGAGCUGUUCCCUCUGCUUGAGAACCCUGAAGGCUGCUUCCCAACCUAACCCCUGGGAAAGCUUUCCAUGUCCCCCAGCUCCUAGUGUCCCCUCCUAGUGGGCAAAGCCCUCUGUAGAGAACCAUGGGGGCUGCUCUGCCUUUUCCUCCCGCAAGUCCCAGUCCCGAAGGAGAAGACAGCGCCUGCUGGGACUCGCCCCCUGCUCCGUUGGGGAGGGGAGUCCUCACCCACCCCGACAGCCUAUGGGACAGGGACAUUCUCAGCCACACCCGGGUGGCCAGCUCUGACAUAUGCAUUUCUGUUAAUUGACACUUUCCCUUGUCUUUCGAACCAGUUCCCUUUGAUUCCAGUUUUCAAAGGUGAUUCUACCCCUGAGAAAUAAGAAGUCCCAAAUGUGCCUGUAGGAAGUAAAGGGGGAAAAAAAACCCAUAGGUAUUCCCUUCACUCUUUCACAAGUAUCUCUUCCCAGCAGAGAAAUUCAUCAAAGGACUUCCUGUCUGCCCAGCGUCAACCUGGACCUGAGACGCAUCCGUUUUCUCCUAUUCUCUUGUGUGAAGGAUAAGGGUUUGCCCUGGUCAUCCACGAUUUUGACACUGGGAUUUAACCCAACCAAGGGGUGGGGUGGGUGGGGGAGAAACCCACCCACCAAACUGCGUGUUAUUUACCCAUUUCAAUAUUUAAUUUCCUGUCUCCAUUACGCACGUUUCAGUAUGCAGAUUAUUUGCCCAACAUAAUUUAUCAGUUCCUCCUUAGAUAAUAUUCUCCUCAGGGUACAUAUUGUUCAUAUUUAGAAAUUCUUAUUAAUCUCAAGAAUCACAUUGUUUAUCCAACAAAAUUAUUACAGCUUUGAUGAAGCUUUUAAAGUGUAACAUGUAAAUCACUAUUUUCUCACUUUCAUAAGCAGCUGAAUUUUUGAUCGGGUGUAUUAUUAUGGUUUAGAAGAUAUCGAGUCUCAGGGAAAAUGUACAAGAUGGUGCCAUAAUGUGUAGAUGAGGCUAUUUAAUUAGAACUGCUGUUAAUGACAAAUUGCCACCACGGUAGCUAGCCCUCCUCCAAAUUGCCUUUCUUAAGUAGAUAAAUGAGUGGUGCAAUCCGGUGUCAUUAUAAAUAGGACGGGGCUAAUAUUUAAAGCUAUAAGUGUUACAAUAACAAAUGGCAGGGGGGAAGGAGCAAGCGAAUAUUUAAAUAUUUACAAUCGCUUAUUUUGAAAAUUGCGUAUUGAUCAUUUUUACCUAGGAAAAUAUUAGAGGGAUUCUUUAAUAGAAACAAAAACUUAAAGGAACUGCAUUAGAGGAGGAGUCAGUAUUUUGUUGAUCGUUUUCCUUGAUGUUUAUAUUCAAGUUUACAUUCAUGCUCAAUGAGGCUGUCUUAAUUGCAUCAAUUAUAUGAUAAAAUAUUGUAUCUUUUGAUAUUUUUUUAUCUUUGAGGGGAAGAAAAAAAAGAAAAGAAAAUAUAGCUUCCCUGCUUGUGAGCUGUGUUUUGUGAGAUAAUAGACAUCAUUGACACCACUUGCUAACAUACCAAAAAUAGACCUGGGGAGGGAAGGGUGGCAUUUGCUAGCACUUGUGUAUCCAUGAUUGUGUUAUUCUGUCCCUGCAAGGAUGGCAUUCCUCAUUUGACCACAGGGAAAUAGAACAGAAGAGGGGUCUGUGGAGGGAAUGAAUCUGCAGAAUCAAUUAAUAGCAAAACCAGGCUCCCAAGGCAUGACUUAGUCACGUUUUUUUUCCUGUGAACGUAGACAGACUGUGAACAGGGGAGGGCUGCCUGUGCUCGGGUUACCAGGGGGCUUUGCAAAGCAGGUUCCAACAUCAGGGCGGGUCCCAACACCAGCACCCAGCUCUUCAUUGCCAUCGAUCUUCCUGUUUUUGAUGCAGUUCCAGUAUUGCCUUAUGUUUUCCACUCAAUUUUUUUCUUCAGAGCUAAUAUGUGACAUGACGUCAAAAUUGAGGUGAAGAACUUGCCAAUAUGGGAUGCUCACUGAUUCCAUUUUGUCUUAUUGGAAUUAUGUUUAUAAGGUGGAAAAUUUCUAUUUCUAGAAUCAGCAAUUACACCCUUUAAUUCUUUUUUCUAUUCUUAGCAAUAAAAACACAUUUUUCCAAUAACCACCUACAAACUGCCACAUGGAUGAAGUGCUGCGAAGCCACCCAAAAGCACCAGAGCUAGCCCUAGGUUGAAGCUCCAGCCCAUGCCUUGGAGAACCAGCUCUGAUUCACAAGAAGGUGCAUCCUGGAUCUUCUACACACAUGCUGACCCUGUUUCCUUCUGGAGCCAUAGGAGAGAAUGGGCAGAGUGACAUUAUCAGUGUGUUUGGCUGCUUCUUGGGCUCACGUUGCAAAAGGCACCAUUGCUGUGCUCUGUUCUGUGACCUGACCCAAGCCUUCCCCUCGUCACUUCCCAUGCACUUUCUGUGUGUGUCUCCAUUGAGGAGAACAUUGUAGUUGAAGGAAAACCCACCAGUGCCUUCGAUGACCACUUAAGAAAUGGCUCUGUUGAAACCCAGUGUCUAUUUCAGGGAUGGCAGCCUCAAACCUAGAGCGACUAUUGAAGGGCAGCUAGGUUGGUUCUACAGUGUAGCUAUUGUGAAUUGAGCUGCUAUGAACAUUGAUAUGGCUGUGUCACUAUAGCAUGAUGUUUUUAAGUCCUUUGGGUGUAGACCUAGG
Ictidomys tridecemlineatus (thirteen-lined ground squirrel) is the source of this 4728-nucleotide non-coding RNA. The record is from RefSeq and is a predicted model, not a curated record. Lineage: Eukaryota; Metazoa; Chordata; Mammalia; Rodentia; Sciuridae.